ACUUACGCAACAUAAGUAUAUAAAAUUGGAAUGAUACAGAGAAGAUUAGCAUGGCCCCGGCGCAAGGAUGGCGCACAAAUUCGCGAGGCAUUCCAUAUUUUU
This 102-nucleotide small nuclear RNA is filed under the name Catagonus wagneri (Chacoan peccary). The record is from RNAcentral. Lineage: Eukaryota; Metazoa; Chordata; Mammalia; Artiodactyla; Tayassuidae.